This 854-nucleotide long non-coding RNA is filed under the name Rattus norvegicus (Norway rat). RNAcentral's name for it is "long non-coding RNA NONRATT011427". The record is from RNAcentral. Lineage: Eukaryota; Metazoa; Chordata; Mammalia; Rodentia; Muridae.
UUCCCAAUGCCUGUACCACCACACCCAAAGACCCAAAGCUUGUAGAAAACCAGGUCCCUCCCACCACAGGACAAGCAGGAUAUUUGAAGGGCAUUGGUAUCCUCAGGGUAGAAAUCUACAAUCUUGCUGAGGGCUUCCCCAUCACGUGAACCUGCAGUGGAGAAAGGGGACUAAGAAUCCAGAGAGUUCCAGUGACACCCCACCUCUCACAGCUUUCUGGUACCUUCCAAGCGGCUGUGUCGACUGGAGAAGCCACCCUGGAACUGCACCUGCAGCUGUGUGAUCUGAACACGCUGGGGAAACUCGAGUGACACCCACUGGCAGGGGCCCUAGAAGCAGACGAAUAAAACAGAGGCACUUGGUAACUACAAGAUUAGGGUCCUAUGGUGUUCCGCUCAUCUUUCAAGAGUUACUGCUACAGCCAGCACAGGAAGGGUAUGAGCACACUGCUUUCUAGGUCUCCCCAAAGUUCUCAAGGCGCCCUGCAGUCCUGCAUCGGCUUCACACUUGGGAUGGAGGGGUGUAGAAACACCUCACCUGGUCAGAGUUCCAGCACGUCUCUUCAUCCUGGUCAAAAAGAUGUUUCUUUCCAAAUUGCCGGCUGUUGCGAUUAAGCACAGAACUGACCCUGCAGGACAGAAGCAGGGGUAGGAGCCUCAAUGCUACCGACUUACACAGGAGCAUUCUUGCUGUGAGCCACCCACCGACCAGGCCGGCCAGUCCCACCCCCAAGAACUCCGCCAUCAACAGCCAGGAACAUGAUCACCUAACGGCACCCCCAGCCAGGAACACAAACACCAGACCGCGCUUCCAGCCAGGGGAUAGGAGCACUAGGCAGCAAGCACCCCAGACCC